Molecule: ribosomal RNA, 253 nt
Filed under: uncultured bacterium
Lineage: Bacteria
Description: partial 16S ribosomal RNA
Rfam family: Bacterial small subunit ribosomal RNA
Source: RNAcentral
UACAGAGGUCUCAAGCGUUGUUCGGAUUCAUUGGGCGUAAAGGGUGUGUAGGUGGCGUGCUACGUCGGGUGUGAAAUUUCGGAGCUUAACUCCGAAACUGCAUUCGAUACUGGCGUGCUUGAGGACUGGAGAGGAGACUGGAAUUCAUGGUGUAGCAGUGAAAUGCGUAGAGAUCAUGAGGAAGACCAGUGGCGAAGGCGGGUCUCUGGACAGUUCCUGACACUGAGACACGAAGGCCAGGGGAGCAAACGGG